UGGACCUGACACUGGCCCGGGUUACGAGCACGUGGUCAACCUGGCCUGCAGUCUCAUGCAGCUGCGUCACCAUGCCUACGUGACGUAGCAGCAAGUGGCGGAGAUUGUCUCCCUCUGGAAACGAUUGCCGAAGGGUGACAAGGCCCCAGUCCACAUCCCACCACGCCACCAGCAAAGACUGGUGAAGGGGCGGUUCUGACGCAAGCACUCGCAGACCUGUGUCACACCGGGAGUGGAGAGCUUGCAAUGGUGCAUGGUUGGCCAAUGCGGCCAAGCCGCACAGAGGCCAAAUAUCAGCCGCCUUGUGGAUGCCUUUGAUACAGAGCUGUCCAGGAUUAACCCCGAAGGAACCACCAUCUGCGGCGUGUGGGUGAACCGCUGGGCAGCAGUCAUCCAAGAUUAUAUCUGCAUUCAGGAGAAUCUACUUACAAACCCGGUACUCGUGGCCCAGAAACGCAUCCAGCUAUUCCUCCUCAAUCAGAGCACCCAGGCACAAUGAUUGGUGUAGUCGGCAGGAUAGAAUCCCGAAGAUGACAGAAGGGCAGGACAUAAAUGCAGUGUUAAAUACCCUGGUGACUGAACUCCAGACGGUCAAGCUGGACCAGGCCAACACACAGAGGGAGCUCGCACAGACGAGACGACGAUUGGCAGCCGCUGAAGCUGCGAGACCGGAUCUCACACGAUCUCUACAUCCUCAGAUUGUUCCCCUUACAGAGACUGAUGAUAUAGAAGCCUAUCUGACUGUGUUCAAGAGAACCGCGGCCAGAAACCAGUGGCCAGGGGCGGAGUGGGCAUCCAUCUUGGCUCCCUACCUGAAGGGUCCAGUGCAGCGAGCCUAUCACGACCUCCCUGAGGAAGAGGCCGCCCAAUACGACCUCCUGCGAGCCGAGCUAUACAAACACUACGGCAUUACCUUCGGCCAGCAGGCAAGGGUAUGGCGGCCCUGGCGGUUCAAACCAGAGCUUCCAGCUGGGGCCCAGGCGUUCGAAUUCUGAGGAAAACUUGGCCGACGGCUACGGCCAGAUGUUAAUCAAGCCCGCCAGGUGGUUGGACAAGUAGCCUGUGAGGCGUUAAUACACGCCAUGCCGGACUACCUCGCCCAGCAUGUCCGGAGGCAUCCCUUUCGCGAUAUGAACGGGCUCCUGGAGGGCUUAGAGUGCCAACUGGUGGUUAACCAACUUGGGGGGUCUGAGAAGCCUACUCGCAUGGCCUGGCAGGGACAGGUUGCCCCACAGGAGCCCUCCCGUCAUGCUGUCCUCACGGAGCCGCCAGCAAAGACCAAAGACCAGGUGCUCACCCCGCCACGCUGUUUCAAGUGUGGCGAAGUGGGGCAUAUUCUUCCCACCUGUCCCCUCAAUGCAGAACCGAUGAACUGUAGCUAACCGAGAGGAGAGGUACUGUGCACCGUCAAACCCUCUGGCACUUACGAAUACGGGAAUAAUGUUGAUUAAUGGGCACUCGGUGAUGGCUUUGUUUGAUUUCGGGAUCAAUAUCACCAUUGUUGCUCACUGUUAUGUUUUACCGCGACAAUGGCUUGCUAAAAGGUUUAAUAUAACAUGUGUGCACGCAAGGUGUUAUAUAACAUGGAGGGGGUAUCCGAAAUAGCUUUUGGUUGUGGUGUUGCAUGAACCCCCCUUUCCGGUUAUAUUGGGACAAGAUUGGUCUAAAAAUAACUGCGGUAAAGCUGUGCCCACUCCCAUACACAAACUGGGUCUACUUAUGGAUGGUCAGGGGACCCUUCCAACUGCUCCCAUGCCGUGCUCAUCAGCAAUUGAUGACGUGGGCGGCCCGGGGGUACACCUUUCAGGGACGGACACCGAUCCGGAAGUACAACCGGGUGAGGUUACGUCACGGGAGGACACCACUCCGCGUUUGGGACCUGAUAUUUUGGCCGGCCUGGAUUUCCAAUUUCGCUCCAUGCCAGCAUCAUUUAAAAGAGAACAGUGGAAUGACGAUGCCUUGAAGUUUGCCCCGAAUGCUGUUGUAUCUGCAGACGACCUGGCGUCAUAAGAUUCCACACCACCGGGACCCUACUUUGUCCUAGAAAAUGAUUUGUUAUAUCGAGUUGCACAGGAACACGAAGGCAAGGUAUGGAAGUUGUUGUUAGUGCCGUGAACCUAACGACCUAGCACAUGCCCAGCUCUUAGAUGCCCACCUUGGGGCCAAAAAAAUGUUGGAGAGAAUUAAACUCCGAUUUUAUUGGACCGGGAUCAAUGAGGAGGUCUGCCAGUCUUGUCCAGUCUGUCAGUUACGCCAGAUUCCCAGGAGGGACCGAGCUCCUCUAAUCCCGAUUCCCCUUAUUGAUGUGCCCUUUGAACGGAUCGGAGUCAAUCUCAUUGGACCCCUAGACCCUUUGGCCAGAGGCCAUAAAUAUAUAUUGGUGAUGGUGGAUUAUGCAACACGGUAUCCUGAAGCAGUUCCCUUGAGAGCUGCUAAUACAAAAAAUAUCACAUGGGAAUUAGUAGGAUUUUUUUCCCGAGUGGGUACACCUAAAGAAAUCCUCACAGAUCCACCCUUUACUUCGGAUACAUACAGGGAGGUGGCCAAGUUACUCCAUAUUAAGCAUCUUAAAAUGUCUGUUUAUCACCCUCAGUCGGAUGGGUUGGUGGAAAGAUUUAACCAAACCCUUAAACAGAUGCUCCAUAAGGUAGUCAAUACGGACGGAAGGAACUAGGACCAGCUUCUACCUUUAGUACUUUUUGCAUAUCGGGAGGUACCUCAAGCCUCCUCGGGGAUUUCCCCAUUUGAACGUUUAUAUGGGCGCCAGCCCCGGGGCAUUUUGGAUUUACUAAAAGAAGAUUGGGAGGGGGAGGCACUUCCCAACACAAGUCUAUUGGAAUAUAUCGCGCAAUUACGCAAUCGAUUAGACAAAAUCAGACCUAUAUUAAAAGAUCACAUGUCUCGGGCUCAAGCAGAGGAGGCCUGGAAUUAUAAUAGGAACUACUUCCUUCGCAAAUUUCAGCUGGGAGAUUGUGUACUGGUGCUCCGGUAGGAGAUUGCCGGAGCACACCUGGAGCCCCUUCAUGUGGGGACUAGAGUCGGGAGAGGGAAGAAUGAGGUCUGGAAGGAGGCAAAGAGGCAGCCUGAAGAAGAGAAGGCAUUGUGUGGUGUUGGCCAGGACUUUGGGGACUUGGGAUUUGUGAGCACUUUAUUAACUAUAAAUAGAAUGUAUAAUAAACGUG
Long non-coding RNA from Polypterus senegalus (gray bichir), 3182 nucleotides. RefSeq lists it as uncharacterized. The record is from RefSeq and is a predicted model, not a curated record. The transcript is spliced from 3 exons. Lineage: Eukaryota; Metazoa; Chordata; Cladistia; Polypteriformes; Polypteridae.